RNAcentral lists this ribosomal RNA (432 nucleotides) under uncultured bacterium. RNAcentral's name for it is "partial 16S ribosomal RNA". It matches the Rfam family "Bacterial small subunit ribosomal RNA", at positions 29 to 506 of the family's 1533-position model. The record is from RNAcentral.
AACGAACGCUGGCGGCAUGCCUAACACAUGCAAGUCGAACGAGACCUUCGGGUCUAGUGGCGCACGGGUGCGUAACGCGUGGGAACCUGCCCUUAGGUUCGGAAUAACUCCCCGAAAGGGGUGCUAAUACCGGAUAAUGUCUUCGGACCAAAGAUUUAUCGCCUUUGGAUGGGCCCGCGUUGGAUUAGCUAGUUGGUAGGGUAAAAGCCUACCAAGGCGACGAUCCAUAGCUGGUCUGAGAGGAUGAUCAGCCACACUGGGACUGAGACACGGCCCAGACUCCUACGGGAGGCAGCAGUGGGGAAUAUUGGACAAUGGGCGAAAGCCUGAUCCAGCAAGGCCGCGUGAGUGAUGAAGGCCUUAGGGUUGUAAAGCGCUUUUACCCGGGAUGAUAAUGACAGUACCGGGAGAAUAAGCUCCGGCUAACUCCGU